CCUACGGGUGGCUGCAGUGGGGAAUAUUGGACAAUGGGCGAAAGCCUGAUCCAGCCAUGCCGCGUGUGUGAAGAAGGCCUUCGGGUUGUAAAGCACUUUCAGUGGGGAAGAAAGCCUUGGGGCUAAUACCCUCGAGGAAGGACAUCACCCACAGAAGAAGCACCGGCUAACUCCGUGCCAGCAGCCGCGGUAAUACGGAGGGUGCGAGCGUUAAUCGGAAUUACUGGGCGUAAAGCGCGCGUAGGCGGUCUGAUAAGCCGGUUGUGAAAGCCCCGGGCUCAACCUGGGAACGGCAUCCGGAACUGUCAGGCUAGAGUGCAGGAGAGGAAGGUAGAAUUCCCGGUGUAGCGGUGAAAUGCGUAGAGAUCGGGAGGAAUACCAGUGGCGAAGGCGGCCUUCUGGACUGAUACUGACGCUGAGGUGCGAAAGCGUGGGUAGCAAACAGGAUUAGAUACCCGAGUAGUC
This 465-nucleotide ribosomal RNA is filed under the name Vreelandella stevensii. RNAcentral's name for it is "partial 16S ribosomal RNA". It matches the Rfam family "Bacterial small subunit ribosomal RNA", at positions 338 to 795 of the family's 1533-position model. The record is from RNAcentral. Lineage: Bacteria; Pseudomonadati; Pseudomonadota; Gammaproteobacteria; Oceanospirillales; Halomonadaceae.